Molecule: long non-coding RNA, 523 nt
Organism: Piliocolobus tephrosceles (Ugandan red Colobus)
Lineage: Eukaryota; Metazoa; Chordata; Mammalia; Primates; Cercopithecidae
Exons: 3
Source: RefSeq, a predicted model, not a curated record
ACUUGUUUUUCUUGUCCCUGCUUUUGGAACCCAUUUCUUCAGGGCCCCUGCCUGGCCUUGCAGGUAAUGUUAUAGCUCCAGCUGGACUUUGGAGUGAGUCAGCCUGGUCAGAGAAGGACUUGUUUUUCUCUUUACUUGUUUUUCUUACAUUUCCUGGUUCAUCAGCAAGAAACAACACGCUAUUUACCUUCACAGUAGAAGAGUCCAGCAGAACCAAGAUAGAAGCAGAGUGGGUGAAUCUAAACCUGUGGACACAUUCAUCUUGGAAACCCUAAGAGAGGCGAAAGGAUCCUGCUCCAGCUAUGUGAGACAUUUGUAUCUGCUUUGCCUCCUGCCAUGAAUUAAAGUUCCCUGAGGCCUCCCCAGAAGCACAUACUCCCAUGCUUCCUGUAGAGCCUGCAGAACUGGAGAAAACAAAUUGUAAGGAGAUUUAAAGGAUUCUCAAAUACAAACUGAAGUUAUCAAGAACAAGAUAAUGAAGGACAGUAACAAUCAGGUAGGGACAUGUAUGAGGGCUAAGAAG